CACCUCCCCCAGGAGGAUUUGCCUUCCCCACGAAGGCAGACCACUUCCUCGCCUCUUCCAUCCCUUCCCUCGCCGCAACCACUCCCUGUUGUUCUCCGCCGCCUCCCCGCCCCGCACGCCGCACCCCCUCCCCCUCAUCUCUGACCCAUGGUGAAGCAACACCGCGUCCCUCACCGAGCUGCACGCCAUCUGGCUGGAAGCCAGAGCUCGAGCCCGACGCCUCCAGCGCCCCCGACGAUUUCCGUGUGCAUCCGGUCUUUAGGUUCUGCAGAUGUCGUUUUUGCUCAUGUGUUGCGUUGUAACCCCACUUUUGUGGCAGGCUGCCAAUCUUUUCGGAUGUAGUUGGCCAGCGGGCUCGAUUCUGAACGAGAUAAGCGAUGUGGGUAGCCGACGAGGAGACAAGAUUCGUCAGUGCCGGCGCAUUUGGAUGGCGGCGGCACCACUGCGUAAGAUGCCAAUAGCAGGGAUAGCGAGCUGGCGCAGUCCGAAGAGUGCAGUGAAGCCGGAUCCGCAAGCGUCCAGGAGGAUUAAAUCGAGCAAUAGGAGGAUGGGAGCUGAGGCCUGAUCGGGAUGCAGCGCCCGUCCCGGUCCCUGCUGCCGCCGGAGAGGCGAGGAUGCCGUCGGCCGCGCCAUAGCAGCUCGGGGGUUCCAUGAACAGCGGGGCGACCUCCGCCGUCGCCACGCUGCUGCACGGCUCCACACCCCCAGCAUGAAUGGGGAUGGGUAUGACAGCAACGACAGCUACAACGCCACGCGGCCUGUGAGUACGACUACCUGUUCUCCUGUAGGCUUUAGCUACUAUGUUUUGUUCUGUUUGACGGAGUACUACUACUUUGUGUACCUGUUUUGAUUUUGGCAUAACGAUUAGAGUAAAUAGUGUUUUGCUGCUAAGCAUGGCAUGUUUGUUCUCUCAGGUUGUGAGUUUUCUAAUGUUGUUUCAUAACGAAAAAGUUUUCCCAGACUGGUGGAAAGAGGAGAAAGGUUGGGGUUCAGACGGAUACUUGUUUAGUUUUUCAGGGUUAAAGUCACUAUUCUAGCUUCUUGCUGUUGCAGGUUGUUGGCCUGCCCAUGCUACUAGAGCUGUCAUGGGUGCUUUGUUUUGCAGGUUGGAUUCCGGAGGAUCGACAACCUGCAGGCCGGCUGGAUCAUGUGCCCGCCUGUUCUUAAUUUGAAACUCGGUGGUUGAUUCAUUGGAAUCGUUACCAAGCCCACACUCUCCUGUACCUAAUUGUCAUUGUCACCUUGGUGGUUGAUUCAUGGGAAUCUUUACCAAGCCGGUGAGGAUGACUUGUGAGUUUCGAUGAUGAUCCCUUCGUAAAUGAAUUUGACUGAAUCAAAUCGAUCUCUACUUUCAAGGAUGUUCAUAGUAACAAAGGCAUUUUUGGAAUCAUACCUCGACUGUAAGUAUCAUUUAUGUUUUUUCUUGGCUGAAGUAUCAUUUAUGUUUUUAUAAGUAAGCCUGUUAUGCAUGAUGUGUUUCCUGUUAUGUGCAAGUUUUAUUUUACUGCCCCGCAAAAAAAAAGUUUUAUUUUACUGUUAUCUCUUGGUUGGGAAUACAUGCAAAUGAAGUUACUAGCUUUCCUUUUUCUGGUCAUAAAUUAAACCAUGCACUUCACUUAUUAUUGCUAGAUUGGAUAAGUUGGUGUUAUUAUACACAGAAACCAUAAUAUUUCAUAGUUAAGCUAUUCUACUGCGGUGACUGGUAACUGGCGAAGAUAUCAUUUCAUAAUCAGGAUGUAGCAUGUGUUCCUAAAGCUAUUGACUUGGUAGCCAGAGAACUCACUUCCCCGCGACUCCUGGUCAUGGCCUUAACUCUCCUAUGUUUGUUCAUCAGUCAUCAAGUAUUUUAUAUAUUGCAGCUUGAAACUAGUGUCGUUUAAGAAUUUGUUUUCACAAUGACAAGAAACUUCUAACUCGGUGUUUCGUUUUCAUCUACUGCACUAUAUAUUCGUCUUGCAUUUUACAGUUAAAUUCAUCCACUGCAGUAUUGACUAAUUUCUCUUACCACAGGACUACAUUUCUUCAAACUAUUCUGGUUUUUAGUCCUUGAGCUACUCCCAAUAGUAGAUCCAUAAACUUUGUUAUCCUUAUGUGAAAUAUAUUACUGACUACUUGGAAAAUUAGAUAGGGCUUUGGUACUGCCAUUUUUGUACCCCACACAAACUCUACAACACUAAGGCCAAAUUUUUAAUAUUGAUCAUUUGUGUAUUUUUUCUUCAUGUAUAAUUUCCAGUGCUGACAGCAUAAACUAAUCUGAUCCAUCAAGCAUUUAUAAAAUACCAUGGGAAUAUUUCAUCAAGCACCACCAAACUGACAAUUCUUCACUUGACACUUUCAAUGCUUGUCAUUGAGUGUAUGAUUGUUUCUAACCGAAUAAGAUUUGCUUUUCAUCCACUGCAGCUUAUGAUAAUCUUGUAAUCUACAACCUAAAUUCUAUUAUUGUUUGCUUUACUUUCAACUUUUAUUGUUUACUUUAUCUCACUUAGUGCAAUCUUCUUCUGUUUAGCUCUGCUUUUCUGUCAAACCUCACUUAACAUUUUAUUCUAACCACACAAUUUGAGAGCAUCUCCUUUAUUUAGCUCGGCGGGAUCAAACACCACCAUCCUCGCCGAAGUCCAACCAGCACCACGCAACUAAUGGUGCUGCCGGCAUGAUGAUGCCCUCCUCCGUGCUGAUCUAGCUUUUCGACCUGUCAUUCCGGGCAUCUGCUUUUGAUGUGCUAUUUGCUCUCUUUUCAUAAGUGUAGCUUACAUGAUCAGUUUUGUACGUGCACUAUACUUCUGUGUUGUAUCUUUGUUUUUCAAGAAGCGGCAGCAUGCUCCUGUCAGUGUUAUUUUAUUGCUAUCCAUUGGCAUGUGCUAAGAGAAGUGAAAAGGGUGUAUAUGCAUGUACCAAUGCUAAGUAAUUUAGCUGAUUUCAUCAAUUCAGCAACAUUUGUCA
Molecule: non-coding RNA, 2940 nt
Organism: Aegilops tauschii subsp. strangulata
Lineage: Eukaryota; Viridiplantae; Streptophyta; Magnoliopsida; Poales; Poaceae
Source: RefSeq, a predicted model, not a curated record